AGAGUUUGAUCCUGGCUCAGGACUAACGCUGGCGGCAUGCAUCAUACAUGCAAGUCGAACGGGGAGAGAUUGGGCAACUGAUCUUUCUUAGUGGCGCACGGGUGAGUAACACGUAGGUAACCUACCCGGGAGAUUGGGAUAACAGCUCGAAAGGGUUGCUAAUACCAGGUGAGCCCACGGGCCGAGAGGCCGGUGGGAAAAAGAUGGCCUCUAUUUAUAAGCUAUCGCUUCCGGAUGGGCCUGCGGACUAUCAGCUAGUUGGUGGGGUAACGGCCUACCAAGGCAAUGACGGUUAGCCGGCUUGAGAGAGUGUACGGCCACACUGGAACUGAGACACGGUCCAGACUCCUACGGGAGGCAGCAGUAGGGAAUUUUCCGCAAUGGGCGCAAGCCUGACGGAGCAAUGCCGCGUGAGGGAAGAAGGCCUUCGGGUCGUAAACCUCUUUCGUUUGGGAAGAAAGCGGGCAGCAAGAAACGGCUGUUCGUUGACGGUACUGGAGGAAGAAGCCCCGGCUAAUUACGUGCCAGCAGCCGCGGUAAUACGUAAGGGGCAAGCGUUGUCCGGAAUCACUGGGCGUAAAGGGCGCGUAGGCGGUUCGAUAAGUCGGGAGUGAAAGCGCUGGGCUCAACCCAGCAAUUGCUCUCGAGACUGUCGAGCUAGAGGGUCCUAGGGGAAGCUAGAAUUCCAGGUGUAGCGGUGAAAUGCGUAGAUAUCUGGGAGAAUACCCGUGGCGAAGGCGGGCUUCUGGGGGACACCUGACGCUGAGGCGCGAAAGCUAGGGGAGCGAACGGGAUUAGAUACCCUGGUAGUCC
RNAcentral lists this ribosomal RNA (813 nucleotides) under uncultured bacterium. Its description in RNAcentral is "bacterial SSU rRNA". It matches the Rfam family "Bacterial small subunit ribosomal RNA", at positions 8 to 796 of the family's 1533-position model. The record is from RNAcentral.